Molecule: long non-coding RNA, 289 nt
Filed under: Manihot esculenta (cassava)
Lineage: Eukaryota; Viridiplantae; Streptophyta; Magnoliopsida; Malpighiales; Euphorbiaceae
Description: long non-coding RNA (MESC_LNC010841)
Source: RNAcentral
GUUGAUUCAAUAGAUUAGUUAUGGAGAUGGAAGACGCUUCUCACCACCAUUAUCUCUCCUUAUGAUUAAACCAAUUAGGGAACGUCCUCUAAUUAAUUACUAAUUAACAAAUUGCUAAGGAACGUCCUUGGGCCUUAGGCAUCAAAACAAUUGUCAAUUGCAUUAAGAAAUAGAGAGAUCCAAUCCUAGCUAUCCAAACGUAUGGAGAUAACGCUAGAUCAUACAAUUUCCUUGGGUUUUAUCCCAAGUGUUCUUAUGUAAGAAUAAUCUAAGCAAUUAUGGACUUAAA